GUAUAGAUUUUAUAUGGUCACAACAUUCUAUUAACAUACAUUGGGGUAAAUGAAGCAACAUAGACCUGAAAGGUCUACAAAAGGUGCACAGGUGGAGAUAUAAAGAUGACAAGGUGUGCACAUUGCUCCCUAGAGAACCAGCAACAACCCAUCAGGUUUAUUUCAAUAAUGAUCCUUCCGCAGGUUCACCUACGGAAA
RNAcentral lists this unclassified non-coding RNA (198 nucleotides) under uncultured fungus. RNAcentral's name for it is "sequence contains ITS1". The record is from RNAcentral. Lineage: Eukaryota; Fungi.